Oreochromis niloticus (Nile tilapia) is the source of this 1282-nucleotide long non-coding RNA. RefSeq lists it as uncharacterized. NCBI's taxonomy places the organism in Eukaryota, Metazoa, Chordata, Actinopteri, Cichliformes, Cichlidae. The transcript is spliced from 2 exons. The record is from RefSeq and is a predicted model, not a curated record.
GACAGCCCUGGUGGACAGAAGCAUCAGAGUACAAUGCAGAGAGUGGAGCCGUCAGGAGGGAGGAUCUCUGUGAUGACAAUGACAUGGAACACCAGGAGGACUGCGGAGAAGAGAAUCUGGGCUUGGACAAUAUAGAACACCAAAACAACCAGUAUGAUGAGGAUACAGAGGCACAAGAGAACAAUAAAGACACAGAGCAGACGCACCAGCUUGAGAUGGAGUGCAGUGACCAAGAGGACACUGACCAGUCACCUGUCAGUGUGAAAAAAUACCCGUGAUAUGGAUGGAAAAAGCAGUGGACUGUUAUCGUGCACAAUAACACCUGCUGCGACAUAUGACAGGAAGGGGAGAUACAUGUCAUGUGUUUCACUGUGGCUAGCAGUGAUGCUGAACUCUGACUCCUAAAGAGAUGUAGCCUUCUACAAGCAAUGUAUAGUUGCCACAUAAGGACUGAUAUUGGUAGAAUGUCGGGACGCCAUUAACUUUUUGAGGGGAGAGUGUAAGGACAAGAAAGACAUCGUGGACAAAACAGGACACCCCCCUAUAAUUUAGUCACAAUAUUAUAGUUAGUUAAAUGGUCUGAUUGUUCAAAUAUGUAUUUUCUUUGAUUGUUGUAAAAUAAUGUGUGCCCCAGUCUCCAAAAAUGACAUAGUGCAGGAAGGGUAGUUAUUCCUCCGUUACACCACAAGAGGGAGUAUCCCCUAAAACAAGCAGCUCUAGCGGGAGUAAAUAAGCCCAGCCACUAACCAUAAGGCAGUGCGCCUAUAAGAGUUGUGUGAGAGUGCAAAAGUGUGUAACGUUGUGCUAUGUCUACAUAUAUGUUUGCAGGUAAGCAGAUACAAGAUGGUAAAUAACUUAAAAUGUAUCUACAGAUGAGUCCACUGGGUUGCAGAGAAUGUGGGAAAGUUGGCCGUUAAUCCCCAUUAUGUGUCAUUAGUAUAUAAGUUAUUGGUAGCGAUGUGAAUUAGCCGUGGCGCUAACGAUUAGCAGCUAGAGAUAAUUCAUUAGUUUGUACGGAAACCUCGUGGCGCUUUUGUGGAUUUAUACCUGCACCGAGCUGUAAUCACAGCAGAUAUAGCCUGGUGGAUCACACUAUCUUUUGUUUAUGUUUAUUUCAUUGUUGUACUGUAAGAAAUAUUAGAGAUUUGAGUUUAAGGACUAACCAUAAGGCAGUGCGCCUAUAAGAGUUGUGUGAGAGUGCAAAAGUGUGUAACGUUGUGCUAUGUCUACAUAUAUGUUUGCAGAUGUUUGCAGAUACAGUAAAGGCGAACUCACAAAGCCA